This 99-nucleotide signal recognition particle RNA is filed under the name Candidatus Palibaumannia cicadellinicola. RNAcentral describes it as "Candidatus Baumannia cicadellinicola signal recognition particle sRNA small type". It matches the Rfam family "Bacterial small signal recognition particle RNA". From Rfam's summary of the family: The signal recognition particle (SRP) is a universally conserved ribonucleoprotein involved in the co-translational targeting of proteins to membranes. Archaeal SRP consists of a 7S RNA and homologues of the eukaryotic SRP19 and SRP54 proteins. In most bacteria, the SRP consists of a 4.5S RNA and the Ffh protein (a homologue of the eukaryotic SRP54 protein). Lineage: Bacteria; Pseudomonadati; Pseudomonadota; Gammaproteobacteria. The record is from RNAcentral.
UGUUAGUGCUCCUGUACUAUGCUUACUUGUCAAAUCGAUCAGGUCCGGAAGGAAGCAGUCGUAGCAGGCUAUGUAUGUGCCGAGAUGUCGUUAGCUGGG